AUUGAACGCUGGCGGCAGGCCUAACACAUGCAAGUCGAGCGGAUGAAGGGAGCUUGCUCCUGGAUUCAGCGGCGGACGGGUGAGUAAUGCCUAGGAAUCUGCCUGGUAGUGGGGGAUAACGUCCGGAAACGGGCGCUAAUACCGCAUACGUCCUGAGGGAGAAAGUGGGGGAUCUUCGGACCUCACGCUAUCAGAUGAGCCUAGGUCGGAUUAGCUAGUUGGUGGGGUAAAGGCCUACCAAGGCGACGAUCCGUAACUGGUCUGAGAGGAUGAUCAGUCACACUGGAGCGUGGACACGGUCCAGACGACUAAGGGACGGAGCAGUCGGGAACGUGGGGCAGUGGGCGAGAGUAUGGUCCAGCCGUGCCGAGUGUGUGGAGAAGAUGUUCGGAUUGUAAAGAACGCCAUGUGGGGAGAAAGCGCUGUAAGUAAGGAAGUAGCUAUUUUGACGUUACCUGCAGAAGAAGCACCGGCUAACUUCGUG
This 484-nucleotide ribosomal RNA is filed under the name uncultured bacterium. Its description in RNAcentral is "partial 16S ribosomal RNA". It matches the Rfam family "Bacterial small subunit ribosomal RNA", at positions 29 to 507 of the family's 1533-position model. The record is from RNAcentral.